RNAcentral lists this unclassified non-coding RNA (375 nucleotides) under soil metagenome. RNAcentral's name for it is "partial contains 5.8S ribosomal RNA, internal transcribed spacer 2, and large subunit ribosomal RNA". The stretch from base 1 to 120 matches the Rfam family "5.8S ribosomal RNA", at positions 35 to 154 of the family's 154-position model. The record is from RNAcentral.
GAUGAAGAACGUAGCGAAAUGCGAUAAGUAAUGUGAAUUGCAGAAUUCAGUGAAUCAUCGAAUCUUUGAACGCACAUUGCGCCCGCCAGUAUUCUGGCGGGCAUGCCUGUUCGAGCGUCAUUUCAACCCUCAAGACCCCUUCGGGGGACUUGGUGUUGGGGACCGGCACAGGGGCCUGCCUGCUUGUCUUGCAGCGCCCUCGCCGCCCCCGAAAUGAAUUGGCGGCCUCGUCGCGGCCUCCCCUGCGUAGUAGCACAACCUCGCAACGGGAACGUGACGGCGGCCACUGCCGUAAAACAACCCCAAUUUUAUUAGAGUUGACCUCGAAUCAGGUAGGAAUACCCGCUGAACUUAAGCAUAUCAAUAAGUGGAGGA